GAGUUUGAUCCUGGCUCAGAACGAACGCUGGCGGCAGGCUUAACACAUGCAAGUCGAACGCCCCGCAAGGGGAGUGGCAGACGGGUGAGUAACGCGUGGGAAUCUACCGUACCCUACGGAAUAACGCAUGGAAACGUGUGCUAAUACCGUAUACGCCCUACGGGGGAAAGAUUUAUCGGGGUAUGAUGAGCCCGCGUUGGAUUAGCUAGUUGGUGGGGUAAAGGCCUACCAAGGCGACGAUCCAUAGCUGGUCUGAGAGGAUGAUCAGCCACAUUGGGACUGAGACACGGCCCAAACUCCUACGGGAGCCAGCAGUGGGGAAUAUUGGACAAUGGGCGCAAGCCUGAUCCAGCCAUGCCGCGUGAGUGAUGAAGGUCUUAGGAUUGUAAAGCUCUUUCACCGAUGAAGAUAAUGACGGUAGUCGGAGAAGAAGCCCCGGCUAACUUCGUGCCAGCAGCCGCGGUAAUACGAAGGGGACUAGCGUUGUUCGGAAUUACUGGGCGUAAAGCGCACGUAGGCGGAUAUUUAAGUCAGGGGUGAAAUCCCGCAGCUCAACUGCGGAACUGCCUUUGAUACUGGGUAUCUCGAGUAUGGAAGAGGUGAGUGGAAUUCCGAGUGUAGAGGUGAAAUUCGUAGAUAUUCGGAGGAACACCAGUGGCGAAGGCGGCUCACUGGUCCAUUACUGACGCUGAGGUGCGAAAGCGUG
RNAcentral lists this ribosomal RNA (706 nucleotides) under Rhizobiaceae bacterium KAs5-R15. RNAcentral's name for it is "bacterial SSU rRNA". It matches the Rfam family "Bacterial small subunit ribosomal RNA", at positions 9 to 763 of the family's 1533-position model. The record is from RNAcentral. Lineage: Bacteria; Pseudomonadati; Pseudomonadota; Alphaproteobacteria; Hyphomicrobiales; Rhizobiaceae.